AACGUUCGGGUUUACGAGUUUCCGUCGUUUCUGCAAACCAUUGGUUUAUCAGGCUAUUAUUAUUAUCAUUAAUAUUAUUAUUGAAAACAAACAGAUGAGACCUUUCAUACUACUUUAUUUAUUUGUUUGUUUGUUAAUUUUACCACUCGACUGCCUGCUAAGCCGGGUUUUCUUUAGGCACGACCAUGCUGUACAUAACGAAUAUGUUAAUUAAUUAAUUUCUACUUAAUUUUUCAGUAAACAGACAUUGUUUCUUCCCCAUCGCAGUCUUUAUAUAUUUGCUGUUUGGUCUUGGUCUUUUUUUUUCUUUUUUCUUUUUUUCUGGGCACCAUUUAUUAUAUCAAUAUUUGAAUUAUAAGUAUUAUAAUUAUUAAUAAUUAUUUAUUUAAGUAAACAGUCAUCAUUAAAAAAAGUUCAUUAUUAUCAGGCUGCUGCUGCUACUGUUGUUGUUGUUAUUGUUGUUUUAAGUGUAUUUCAGUAGGCUACAACUGAGGAUGGCGACCCCAAUCCAUGUCGUGAAGCCAGAUGCCCCUGAAAAUCGCCAGCAAGCUCGCCAGUACAGGGAAAGAAGGAUGGUCUUCCCUCACCUCCACUGCAGUUGCUGAACCAGUCGACUGCCCUGUCCCAUGCAGAGAAGAUCCUUGUGAAUGAGGGGAUCCCCACACAGACACAUCAGCAGCGUCUGGGAAAGCAGCAGGCAAGUACCUCCAUGGGUGAUCCCUCAUCAUGGCCAGGUGAUGCUGAUCUGGAAGCUGCAAGUCAGGCUGUGGAAGAUUUGCUCAAGACCCAGAGCUACAGAUAAGAGCCAGCCCUAGCAGUCAAUCUGUUAGAUUGCCUUCUCAGGAUCCCACUGUCUGGCCCAAGGAGUCAGAGCCCACUGUCAGGUCCAAGAAGUCCAGAUCCACUGUCCAGCCCGAGCAAUCAGAAUCCCAUUCCACAACCCAGGACCGUGUUUCACCCAAAGAACGACUGCUUACAGACUCCCCUAGCUACCUCCGGUGCCACAUCAGCCAGCGGUCCUCCCUUCACCGGACUACCCGAUCUUGCAGUAUGUGCCCACGCCUACCAUGGCUGGGACAGAAAUGUUGAAGGAGAGGACCGACAUAACUAUGCCACUCUCCUGCUCUAAACCGCCUUCACUUCUGCUGCCACUGGAGAGAAAAACCCCAGCCACUCCUCUUCUCUCCCUCUCUGUCUCUUCCGCUACAGCCACCUGUGGGAUUUCUGUGCCCAUCACACUUCUUGCAGUCAUCACCACUCAGGCAACUCCUCACAUUGCUGGUCCAGCCACAUUGCCUACCAGUCAGACCACUUUUACGUCACACAGUACAUCUGAUAUCUGCAAUCUGGGCAAGAUCUAUGCAUUACAAACACAAACCUUGGAACUGGGAGCCAAACUGUCAAGGGUGCAAAACCCCCCGAACUGCCCGCUCUGUGGCCAACCUGCCCAGGGACAUAAAAAAAAUACAAAAAAAGACUUUCUGUCCUGUAAAAAAUAAUGUCUCCAUCAAAAGGACUGGAACACAGAGUGUACGAAAGUUAUGAACAUUUUACCUCUGCUGUCAACCAGAUGGAAGCUGAAGGACCACGCAGAAUGUAAUGUUCUUAAAUGCUUUGUGUGUGUUCCCCAGUUAGUGGACUAUAUUUAUGUCUAUAUUAUGUCUGUAUUAUGUAUGUCUAUGUUAUGCAAUGUGUUUGAUUCACUUGUUUAUUUAAACUUGUUUCAUUUUGUUUGUGAAAAAAAAACAAAACAACAAAAACAAAACUAUUACACGGUUGCAUGCCAUUGUAUAAAUUGGAAAAAAAAAAAUUUUUAAUUGAGGUUUUAUUCUUAUUCAUAUUCAAUGAUGCUUGCUACACUGUAGUGCUGUGUUGCUUUUUUCAAGUGUUGCCCAUUUUAUGCUUUCCUCCC
Long non-coding RNA from Hemibagrus wyckioides, 1912 nucleotides. RefSeq lists it as uncharacterized. The record is from RefSeq and is a predicted model, not a curated record. The transcript has 4 exons. NCBI's taxonomy places the organism in Eukaryota, Metazoa, Chordata, Actinopteri, Siluriformes, Bagridae.